Molecule: ribosomal RNA, 425 nt
Filed under: uncultured bacterium
Lineage: Bacteria
Description: partial 16S ribosomal RNA
Rfam family: Bacterial small subunit ribosomal RNA
Source: RNAcentral
GUGGGGAAUAUUGGACAAUGGGCGAAAGCCUGAUCCAGCCAUGCCGCGUGAGUGAUGAAGGCCUUAGGGUUGUAAAGCUCUUUCAGUAGGGAAGAUAAUGACGGUACCUACAGAAGAAGCCCCGGCUAACUUCGUGUCAGCAGCCGCGGUAAUACGAAGGGGGCUAGCGUUGUUCGGAUUUACUGGGCGUAAAGCGCACGUAGGCGGAUUGGUCAGUUAGAGGUGAAAUCCUGGAGCUCAACUCCAGAACUGCCUUUAAUACUGCCAGUCUAGAGGCCCGAAGAGGUGAGUGGAACUCCUAGUGUAGAGGUGGAAUUCGUAGAUAUUAGGAAGAACACCAGUGGCGAAGGCGGCUCACUGGUCUGGUACUGACGCUGAGGUGCGAAAGCGUGGGGAGCAAACAGGAUUAGAAACCCGAGUAUUCC